AUCAUCGGAGUUAUCCUAGGGAAGCGAUACUAGCUAGCAUGGGCAUGUUGUUAUUUUUAUUUUAUUUUUGAAGUAGUGUAUUUUGUUUUGUUUCUGCAUCUAAACAAAAAGGGGUAACCUUGAUGGUGUAGAUAUAGUCUAGACCCUUAGGGCGGGGUGGGGAUUUGAAUUUCAGUUUUCAGAGGUUGCGAAUGUUUUGGAAGUGGUAGUAGUUUGUUGGGCUGGGAAUUUUAUCUUUUUCAUUCCUACCCUAGUGCAUGUAGCAGGGAGCUACAUGUAACUGGCAUUGAUGAUUUGUUGUAUGCGACUUUGGACUGGUGUAUGAUAAUGUAAAUUGAGGUUGGUGAGUAUGUAAUUAAAGAUCCUUGAAAUGUGGAAGGGUCUUUGGUAGUAAGAGAUUUUGUUGAAUGUGA
This 413-nucleotide unclassified non-coding RNA is filed under the name Hevea brasiliensis (rubber tree). Lineage: Eukaryota; Viridiplantae; Streptophyta; Magnoliopsida; Malpighiales; Euphorbiaceae. The record is from RNAcentral.